GAGGGAAACAACGCGUGGAGCCUGAAGUUCAGAAGAUAGCUGGCAUACUAAAAGAAUAUCCACAGCUAAAGGAACUGAUGGAUGAAAGACAGACUAAAAAAGAAUUUCAUGAAAAGGUUGACAAAAUAUGAGAACAUUUGUAAAUACGCUUGUGAUGAACCCGAACCCGUAAUGAGACGAAUAUUAAAGAGGAGCAUACCAGAUGACUAUAUAUGCAGUUCCAUCGAGGACCUACAAAUAACAUCACAUCAAAAUAACAGACAAUUUCGACGAGUUUCUAGAAAAAAAACUUAAUAUUAUCAACGAAACGGAUAAUUUAUUGACGGAAGAAAUAAUUAAAUGAAAAAGGAACUAAAAGAAGCAGCUUGUCGAUAUACGGUCGGACAAUGUACGAUGUACUUAGCUUAGAAGAUGAAUUCAACAAUUUCGUAAAGAAAUGAACUCAACUGUUAUAAAAGAACUCAUAUAUCAAGUUAAAGAAGAGGGCUGCAAAUAGAUUCUAAGCUGCUACAACUACAACGGUUGAUCGAAGAUUACGGAAAUUACUGCAAAAAUUGUAGUUCAGGUAAAUGUUUUUUAGAGAUCUAGAACUGUAAAUAAGUCAUUCAUUUUAUAGAAAUAUAUAAGUGGUAAAAUUUCCAUUUUAAAAUUAAAACAUCCUACAUGCUGUUAUUUCCGUUUGUUCUUCAGGACAGUUAGACGUGUUCUACGACAAAAAAUGUAAAUGAUGGUGGAGAGGGAGACAUUACAGACUCUAUUCCUAUUUUGGACGAACUGAUUCAAGAUAAAUAUAAUGAAGUAAACGUUACGACGCAUGAAAUCAUCGACGAAAUCUUCAAGAACUAACAGAUUUAAUAAGUGACCCCGAGAGAAACGAAAAAUAUUUGUCUGAUAUAAAAUCUUUGCAAAAAAUAUUGUAGAUGCUUGGAACAUUGAAAGAGAGGGGCUAGAGAACUUGAAAAGCAUUGCACCCCCGGCGUCUUUGAAACAACUGUCGGAUAUACUUUCAGAUUCGAAGGAACUUCAGAAAAUUAUAGACGAUAAGAUAAAACAUUUAGAAGAAAUACUGAAUAAAAAAUAAGCAUUAGUCCCACCAUAGAACUAUAUUUCAAAGUAUGUUAGAACGAUAUAUUGAAUUGUUUAUUGGAACAAUAAAAUUUCGAAAUCACUUUGUC
This is a long non-coding RNA of Danaus plexippus (monarch butterfly), 1175 nucleotides long. RefSeq lists it as uncharacterized. NCBI's taxonomy places the organism in Eukaryota, Metazoa, Arthropoda, Insecta, Lepidoptera, Nymphalidae. The record is from RefSeq and is a predicted model, not a curated record. The transcript has 2 exons.